RNAcentral lists this ribosomal RNA (116 nucleotides) under Chimarra formosana. Its description in RNAcentral is "partial 16S ribosomal RNA". Lineage: Eukaryota; Metazoa; Arthropoda; Insecta; Trichoptera; Philopotamidae. The record is from RNAcentral.
AAGAUUUUAAAAGUCGAACAGACUUAAAUUAUAAACUUUUGCAUUUAUACUCAAUCUUAAUCCAACAUCGAGGUCACAAUCUCUAAAUUUUAUAAGAACUAAAAUCUAAAAUUAUG